RNAcentral lists this ribosomal RNA (253 nucleotides) under uncultured bacterium. RNAcentral's name for it is "partial 16S ribosomal RNA". It matches the Rfam family "Bacterial small subunit ribosomal RNA", at positions 524 to 776 of the family's 1533-position model. The record is from RNAcentral.
UACGUAGGGGGCAAGCGUUAUCCGGAUUUACUGGGUGUAAAGGGAGCGUAGACGGUAAUGCAAGUCUGGAGUGAAAACCCGGGGCUCAACCCCGGGACUGCUUUGGAAACUGUAUAACUGGAGUGCCGGAGAGGUAAGCGGAAUUCCUAGUGUAGCGGUGAAAUGCGUAGAUAUUAGGAGGAACACCAGUGGCGAAGGCGGCUUACUGGACGGUAACUGACGUUGAGGCUCGAAAGCGUGGGGAGCAAACAGG